RNAcentral lists this long non-coding RNA (1035 nucleotides) under Monodelphis domestica (gray short-tailed opossum). RNAcentral describes it as "lncRNA (ENSMODG00000044788.1)". Lineage: Eukaryota; Metazoa; Chordata; Mammalia; Didelphimorphia; Didelphidae. The record is from RNAcentral.
CCGAAGCCUGCUGGCAGGAGCCGAGCUGAUCUGAGAGUGUGAUUAUCUGGGCAAAGCGAUUUAUCUGAGAAUCAAUCUGUGCUAAUGAGGUGAAACUCCUGCCCCAGACAGGCCCUAAAUCAACAGGCCAGUAGGCAGGCAACUGGGCAAAUCCCAAACCUGCUCCAGAGCAUGCAGGGGACAGGCUGACAGGGAAGGGGCAGCCAGCAAGAAGGGCAGAAGGAGAGGAAACAGAUGGGGAUUGGAUCCUGGUCCAAUGGAAGUCCUGGAGGUAAAUGGGAAAGAGCAACUGGGUGGCUCAGUAAAUUGAGAGCCAGGCCCAGAGAUGGGAGGUCCUGGGUUCAAAUCUGGAUUUAGACACUUCCUAGCUGCAUGACCCUGGGCAAGUCACUUCAUCCCCUUUGCCUAGCCCUUAUCAUUCUUCUGCCUUGGAACCAAUGUACUGUAUUGAUUCUAAGACAGAAGGUAAGGGUUUAAAAAAAAGAAAAAAGAAGGGGUCCCUCAGCCACUGCCCACUUUCCACCCAAAUCACAAGCGAGCACCACAGUCCUGCAGCGUAGCUGAGAAAGCACCAGCUGACAGUUAGACCUGGGUGCUAAUCUUGGCUCCACGAUUGACUCACUUUGUUAUUUUGGUCAAAGCUACUUCCCCUCUGCAGGUCUUGCUUUCCCCAUCUGAAAAAGGGGGAACUGAAUUUGAUGUUCUAAUUAAGUUCUCUUCCAGCUCUGACAUUCUCUGCUCUAAGAUCCUUUCCAGUUCUGACAGUCUAUGCCCUAAGGAUCUUCCCAGCUCUGACAUCCGGCAUUAUUGAUAACAGCUCACAUUUCUACAAAGCAUUUCUCACAGGAAAGCAGGGCAAGGAUGAUUAUCCCCAUUUUACAGCCCACCCUACCCCCAAGCUCAGCCACCUGACUGAUCCCAGGAUUCCAGAGGAGACGCUGAAUCCAAUUAGCCUGUGAGGCAACUUCUGCUCUGAGCCUGAUGCAACGUCGCCCCUUUAAUAAAGCCAGAGGAGCUGCAGAGAUAAAUGGGAAA